GCUGGGGGAAGACUUGUGGCACCAAAGGGUCUUGUUGACGCUCCCCAACCAUCACAUUGCUCUGGGCAGCUGAUGCUCUUUAGCUGCUGAUUACAAGAUACAUAUUUUACACGAUGUCCUGAAUCAAAAGGAUUUUGAAUAUUACUCUGAACUGACUCUAUCACAAUUACGUAUCAAGGAAUUCGCUGUAAGUGAAAUGGGAGGUAAGGACAUAAUGAAGGUAUAAGACACCAUCGGGGAUAAUAAGAUGGAGAUCAGGAAGUAGGUUUGUAAAUAGCAGGGUGGAUAUAUGGGAAAAGCCACUGUCUGUUGUCCUGGUUCUCCACCCCACGCUGGGCAGAAGCAGUCAUCUGAGAAAAGAGCGACUAUAUCCAGUCCUACAAUCCUAUUGCGGUGAGGAAAAAAAAAAAGAACACAAACAAACAAAAAUAAAACAACUCACUCACAGGAAAGUUAGGUGAAUGCGAUUCAGGAAACAUAUUCUCAACCCCAACACACUUCAUUGGACCAGCUCUAGGUAAUCUUAGUAAGGAUUAUAGAUCUCCAUUCAUCUUUCUAAUUAGGAAGAAAAUAAACUAUAAGCAGGAGGCCAGAUUGAAGCUAUAAUGUGAUUUUUAAAAAAAGAAAAUAAUUAUCUUGGUCAAAUUUUCUAGAAAAUAAAACCAGAGGCAAAGAUCCCUUGUGAAGCCUGUGUUGGAAGGUGCAAUCUCAAGGCUUCAAAAGCGAGAGAAAGUGGGGAAAGAAGGAAUGCGGAUGCCAGGUGGCAUGUUAAGGAACUGGUAAUAACCCCACAAGGAAAUUUGCGAAUUUCCUUGCUUGUCCUACAAGUCACCUUGAGGCAGUUCCUCGGGGUGGGGGAGAUGAUCCUCAGCUGCCUGGAAGCCAUGGGAUGGGACCGGCCAUCCAGAAGGUACGAGAGCCUCAUCAGCUCAGACCCAGCCCCGGAGCAGGCCCUGGCUCCUGUUGCAGCAGAACCUUAGUUCAGCUAUCCAAGUGGAACCGCCCCAGUUGGUGUCAUCUCCAUACCUACAGCAAGAGGUACCUUGAAGAGCAACACAUGGGCACUUGUCUACGAGGUCAAAAUAUCUUCAUAUCCUUUUCAUGUGACACCCCCUCCCCCCAGAGCCCCACCAAGAACAGUCUGGGUUUCCCUGCCUCUAUGCAUAGUUUACCUGAAUCUGCAUCUCCCCGCAGCUUCCCUAUAGGUGUUUGCCAAUCCCUUAUGAGGUCAGGAGCUUGCCCUGUGACAUGGAGAGAAUAUUUAUGUAGUUACAUCACAUCCUGCGGGGCAAAGGAGACAGCGUGAGAAAGUCUGUUGCCACUAAGCGUCUGUAGUUUGUCCCUUGCGAAGGUUUCAUGUCAAAACCUGGAGGAGAGGCUAGAUGGUCGGGGCCUGAGUUUUCCACUCUCUCCCUGGAGCUCGGAUGUCUGAGAGGGAUCCGUGUGGCUAUGGGUUUGCAUGUUAGCACCUGAAAGAGGGCGCAGCCCCCACCCUGGAAUGAAUGUACUCUUCCAAAAGGAUUCAUUUCCAGAGGGUGGUGGAAGGAACAACAGACACAGCCCUGUGCCCACACACACUGCCAUCUGCCGUUCCAACCACAUGUCUCUGCCCCCCGUUUCCUGCAAGUGAUUCAUCUAUUCUUUUUCUCCUUCUUCAAAGAUAACUGUGUAGGCAUUUAAGGAGGGGGGGGGGAAGUCAUUAAGAAAAGUGGAAUCCGGAGUUCUGGGGGUGAGGUAGAGCCGAUUAAACAGUCUGGAAUUUCACAAAGCAAGCUGGGCGGGUGCGGACUCUGGGCCUCCUCUCUCCCACUGGUGCAUCAUUUCGCAACAGCUUAUCAGCACCCAUCAGCGGCAACGGCUGCAAACUGGGAGCAAACUGGGAGCAAACUGGGAGCCCGGAGCUGCCAAGGAGCAGAGAAGAAGGGCAGAAGUCAGGAAGAGGAUUUGGGAUUUCCUGGGGCGCUGCUCCUCUUACCUGCUGGCGUCCUCGGCUUCGGUCUCUAAUUUUCUCUAAUUUCACACCAAUGAUUUAGAUCUCUGUGACUUUUAAGUUUUUAUUUAAAUUCCAGGUGGUGGGGACGCCUGGGUGGCUCAGGGAUUGGGCAUCUACCUUGGCUCAGGGCCUGAUCCCGGGGUCCUGGGAUCGAGUCCCUGCAUGGAGCCUGCUUGUCCCUCUGCCUCUCUCUGUGUGUGUCUCUCAUGAAUAAAUAAAUAAAAUCUUUAAAAAUAAGUAAAUAA
Long non-coding RNA from Vulpes vulpes (red fox), 2238 nucleotides. The record is from Ensembl. Lineage: Eukaryota; Metazoa; Chordata; Mammalia; Carnivora; Canidae.